Caenorhabditis elegans is the source of this 149-nucleotide non-coding RNA. The record is from Ensembl. Lineage: Eukaryota; Metazoa; Nematoda; Chromadorea; Rhabditida; Rhabditidae.
UCUGGAUGGUAACUUGGUACUGAGUAGCUGAGAUGCAAGAACUAAUAGAUACGGUCAUUAUUCUCGUAAGUUUUAUUGGUUUUCGGGAAGCGGGGAACGCAACGAAUACAAAUGACCUCUAUGAUAUUAUAGUAUUAGUAAUAACAAUA